RNAcentral lists this transfer RNA (69 nucleotides) under Ovis aries (sheep). It matches the Rfam family "tRNA". From Rfam's summary of the family: Transfer RNA (tRNA) molecules are approximately 80 nucleotides in length. Lineage: Eukaryota; Metazoa; Chordata; Mammalia; Artiodactyla; Bovidae. The record is from Rfam by way of RNAcentral.
UCCCUCAGAGCUUAGAUGGUAAAGCAUCUGCCUGAAAUGCAGGAGACAACGGUUCAAUCCCUGGGUGAG